AACUAUUUAACUAAAGUUAACAAAGCAUGAUAAUUUCUUUAUAAAGCAUUGAAGAAAAUGUGUUUAUUACAUACAAUUGAAGAAAAAUAUGGUUCACAUUCUCAUGUUUGUUUAUGCUUUGAUCUUCUCUAAUUUCAUAUUUCUUGUUGAAGCAAAUAUGGUUGUCCUUGGAUGUGUUUCUGAUGAUGAUUGUCCAAAGGUGCCUUUACCUCGUUUUUUGAAGUGCAUCGCAAAUUUGUGUUGUCUCGUCAGGAAAAAAGAUUUGUGAUGUUUGUCGACACACAAAAGUGUAACUAUUAUGUGCAACAAUAACUAUGUCAACUCUAAGCAUAAGCCAAUCAAGACAAUUUGUUUUUCAUUAUUUCCAUCUACCUCUUCCUCCCAUAAAAGAUCAUGGAAGUUUAAUCGCGUAGAAAUGCUAUUUUCGGCUUUGGUUUGAGGGGAUAGUGAGUGCUUGCAGAUUUCUAUUGUGUGCACCCUUUGGAUUUCAAGUGUAAUUUUUGUGAUUGUUUUUCAUUUUGGUUGUAUUUAUGUGCCUUUUAUUCUAGCAUGUACGUGUGAAACCAUUUUUCUUUGGCUUUAGUAUUUUGAAGCCUUGGUUUUGCUAUGUAUUUUUUAUUAUAUUGUUAGCCUUUAAAAUAUAUGAUAUGUUGUUUAAAGAAAACAUACAAUUGGUUCGCAUCA
Medicago truncatula (barrel medic) is the source of this 684-nucleotide long non-coding RNA. RefSeq lists it as uncharacterized. NCBI's taxonomy places the organism in Eukaryota, Viridiplantae, Streptophyta, Magnoliopsida, Fabales, Fabaceae. The transcript is spliced from 3 exons. The record is from RefSeq and is a predicted model, not a curated record.